UUGGAGCUGAAAUGAAAUGGAGGUUUCUUAUGAAAAUAGGCUUUGUUUGGCCGCAAGGCUGGUAAUUCAUAAACAAUAAGCAGGGCCCCAUUGUGUAGAUAAUAAUAUAUUCAUGCCGCUGGAGAUGGGGAGAAAGCAAAGCGAAGGCUGAGGAUAUAUAAGGAGGAUAGGCAGAGACAGCGAUGGAGAGUGAAGGGAUAAGAAGAAGGGGAGGAGAAAGACGAGGGGCUAAUAGCAAAUAGUGGGUCAGAGAAAAUUGGUAAUGGUUGGGUAGAGGCAGAGGAUUUAUUAGAGGAAGUGAAAGGACUGAAAGUGGGUAGGAGUGAAAAGUGAGUGGGAGUGAGGAAGGUGAAAAUAGGAGUAGGAGAGAUAGACAAGAUAAGAAUGAGGCGAGGAGGGCGGGAGAUUGGGAAAUGGUUUUGAGUACCUCUGAGUCUACAGGUGACUGGUUUGGCAGCAGUGGGGGGAGAAGGCAAGUGAGUGAAAGUAUCAUAGAAAAUGGAAAAGGUUGCACAGUGCAAAUCUGUGUGGUGUUGAGAGUGGUGGAGCUGAUAGAGUGGAUUGGUCAAGUGCAGAGACAGAGCAGUGGAAAAAGAAAAAAAACUCCACAGUCAAUGUCUGACAGGAGAGAGGAGAGAGGAGACCGGUGUGCCUGCGGUGGUGUAAACAUGACAGGAGGGCUUUUACCGCCCGGAGACAGGAGUGUGGCUGAGGAGAACAGAUUUCACCGUUGCUGGAAUAGCAUCUGCACUGGGACUUUUUUUUUAAGAGGACAAUCCCCAUCAAGUCUAUGACCAGCUGAACUGGAUCACUGUGGGGAGACUGUGAUUUACAGAUAGCUUCUCAUCCCUUUUACUGGCAGGCCAUCUUUACCUUGAGCACUGGGAGAUAGGUGGUGCGGGCGAAAAGACCUCUUGGAAAAUGUCAGCAACUGUCAGAGCCCCAAAUUUCUUCCAUUAACUCGUUCUUUCCUCUGUGAUGCUACCUUCUUGAAACCCCUUAAUUACAUAACCCCUUUCUCCUAUCACCCAAUGUUUUGUAUCCAAGUAAAGUGUAUGACUUCAGGUCGUGUGGCUUUUUUUUUUUUCUUAUAUAGCUUAAAAUUGAGGGUAACAAAACGAUCCUAGCCCCAUAUUUUUGCCCAUGUGAGCAAAAACAAACACACACAUGCACACUCGCACACACAAAAGGAAAAUGCAGUGACUGCAGCAGCUCUCCUUCCCUCAUGUUUUUCACUGGAGCCAGUUUCACUGUCUUAAUACUCUUAGUCCCGCAGCUGGCAUGUUGUCCAAGAACCUGCUGCAUUUUCAGAUUUGUAAAAUCCGUCAAAAUGCCUGUAAUGAAUAUUUCUACAGCCUCAAGUGUAUUUAACGUGCUGUUUGACCAGCCCAAAAGAAACCUUGUAAAGAUCUGCCACUAUAGGAACAGAGGAUCAGAUGAAGCUUUAUUGUCUGUCCCUUUUUAGCCACAGCCACGAGUCACUGUGGAAACAGUGUGAAACAGGUCAUUUUCAUUUGAACACAAUCCCCUAUAAUAAACAUGUAUUGUUUGGAUAUGCUGUUAAUUUCUUAUUAACAUCUUUCUUGUGCAUGAGUGUAUAUGCCAUGUAAUAUACAUAUAUAUUUUUUGCUUUAGAAAAGUAACUACUGUCGGGUUUUUCUGUGUGUUUUGUUUUGUCGUUUGAUGGAUUAAAAGUCAUCUUAUGAGAUAGACGUGUGCUAUGCACAGUUUGUUUUUUCUGUUAGCUUACACAGCCACCCAUGGCUGGGGGUAAAAAUGAUGAGUACAUACCAAAUAAACUCUUGCAUCUUAUUACAGCCUGAGAAUAAAAAAAAUACUGUGCUUUCCGUCAUUUAUUUUCACAUUAAAUUUGAGAGGUAAAUUAAUACUUCAAAGUGAGAAGUUACAGAAAAGUUUUAACAUUUAAACUAUGUAUUAAUUUCAAGGCCUAAAUGCGCCCUCAAUUAUUUUACCAUUGCCCCUAAGUAAUUGAUUUUGGGUAGAGAAAGCGAGAGGUGCUGGGGUGAUCUGUGUUGAUGUGUGAAAAUCACAAAGCCAAUAAAUGAAAAAUAACUGACGUCGUAAUUGCUGUGAGUGUUGUAACCUUGCUUUAUUGAUUUUUUUUUUCAUCAAGGCAUUUUGCUAGCAUCAAAGUUGGGCCCAUAAUAACAUAAAUUGUUUCACUGCUGUCUGUAAUAAUUUAUAUAUUUCUUUCACUCAUUUUCAGCCUCUCAUUGACUUGUUCAGGUGUGUGCAGCUCGCCACACAAAGACAAACGCUCAUCCAGCAGCGUGCGGCUUGUGCCGUGGUACAGACAAAGAGGGAACAUGUAAAGAGACUAGAUAAUGAGUAUCUCAGGUGACUACAUGCUGUGAUUACCAGGUUGCUGGUUGUUAUAUAGGAACUAUAUUACAUAGACAUGCAGUCCCACUCUAUGCACACGUUCAGACCCACACGUUCUGCACAUGCACACACACGAACACACACUCUUGAGAGAUCCUUGGUUAUCACACCCUUCCAGAUUGUUCUGAACUACUUAUGGAAAACACACACACAUCUCAAGAUGUGGCCACUCUUGCCAAUAUGAGCCCAGUGUUAAGAACAGUUGUUGUCGUUGUCGUCGUGUGUUUUUUUUUAGCAUCUCUAAAUUCCUAGCGUUGCUAAGGUGCUUUGGGAGGGGAUUAACAGAGGCUGGCGCCGAUGAGCAAGCCUUCCAGAUUUCCAACCAGUAGCGAAAAGACAAAGAAAGAGGGGGGAGAGAAAAAAAGAGGAAAAACAGCAGAGGGUUAGACAACGGGGAAAUGGCAGUAACAGCUUGUGUAAACAUGAUGACUUGAGAGAGGUAAAGAGGUAGAAACAAAUGAGGGAUAAGUAACAGAAAGUGAGACUAAAUAAUAAGUGUCCUAAAGAGCAGGCCUCAAUUUUCACACAGGAAAGUGGGGAAGUGCUCUCCCUUUGCUUUUCCUCCCUGUCCUCUUUGCCUGUUUUUCUCCACCGAAUUUCCUUCUCCUCACUCUGUGUUCCCUCCUCUCUGUUUCUUCCCAUCUCUUUAUUCCCCCAAGGCCUACAGUUAGAUCCAGACGCUUUUGUCUCUCGUUCUCUCUGUCACAACUUCAAACAGUGCCGGUGUUCAGGUCAUGCUGAUGUGCCCGGAGCAUCAGUGACUGAGCUGUCUCAGGUGAACGUCUCCCAGCGUGUCCUUGAUGACACUCUCUCCCUUUCUCCCAUCUCGCCGCUUCUAAUUAGUGUGGUGAGCUGCGGAGGCAGUGCAGGCAGCUGAGCCACAUUUACCAAUCCUCAGUCUUACUCGUACGUACAGUAACGCAGUGAAGGCAGCUCUUAUAAUGUUUCUGCAGCACUUACACAUGUGAACUGGCCUUUGUUUUCACUAAAUCCCUGGUUACACACUCGGAAGAAAUCAGAAUGUAGUUCUUCGCCAAAGAAAGUACACCAAAGGGAGGGAGGUCCACAAGCUUUUCUUUGAAUCCUCUCCUCAGGCUCAGCUUCUCAGGUAAAGUGUAACUGGAUGCGGCCUGUUUGUGGAAUACAAGGCACUUGACCAAGGGCCAGCACUACUCCUCCCUCACCUCCCAUCCCCUCCCUCCCUAUCCUUCCCCUACCUGGGUCGGGUUACCCUUCAGCCCCCCUCCUCCCUUCCUUUCCUUGAAUGGUGGCAGGUAGUCUGUUUUGCAGCCCCAUCGGUGUCUGUGGAUGUUGAAAAGCAUGUGUCUGUAUGUUUGUAGUCUAUCCCAGACAGGUGUUUGUGACUCUGUUUGGGCUCGUCGGCCGGGCUCCUGUAACUGUGCCCGUCGCCGCUGCGCUGGCUAAUGUGACUGGGUUGGCCGAGGUACGGAGGCGGCUGUCUUUCAACCAAUGAUCCCUCAGAACUACUCAUCUGAUCAGGCUGGAUCUGCGCUUCACGGCUGCCGGGGUCACACAACCCAACCCCGGGGUCAACCAACUAAUUACAGACCCCUGUGUCCUCCGUCUCUGUCACCACCGGGGAUAUGGGGAAGGUGGGCAGGAGAGGGAAGAAGCCUGAGAGAGGUGGUGAGAAAAAAAAAGACACAAUAUUGACUUUGACAUCAAAAGGUCAACAGUGAGGAUAACCAAGCAGUAUAUUGUUUUUUUUUCUCUUGAAAAGAGAAGAGUGUGAGGAUCUGGUUUGCAGCAUCUUGGUCACACCCAUUAUAGCCCUCAGGCAGACACAGAAGCUUAGACCCUUGAGACCAGAGUUGCAUCAUUGUAUGCGGAUUUAUGUAUCAGCCUCCCACUAACUUUUCAUCUAGCUGUGUGCUAGGCUCUCUAUAUCUUUCCCCUUGUCUUUUUUAAACUGAUUUAUUGUAGCAGCCUGGCAUAUUACCCUUAUCACAACUCCAGGUGAGACAAACGCUGCUGUUAAGAAAAUUUCAGGUUUUGUGCAUGAUUUCUUCUACCCCGACCUUUCGCUUGCCACUAUUGACUGAACUGGGAUACCACACACAGGAACCAGUGAGAGCACACAUGCAUAUACACAUACAAAAAAAUAAAAAAUAAGCCACUAUUACAUUAUAUUAGGCUGCAGGUUCAUUAAUCACAAAUGCGAGGGCUUCUCAGCCAACGUAGGAAAUUAAUCAAAAAAGGGGACAUUAAUCACAUGCAUGAACAGCAGUAGUUACACCUGUGACAAUGCCAUCUGAUUUAAACGCGUUACUCCAGCCUGUGUUAAUGAUGCCACCCAGGGCCAAGCAAAGCAACCUCUCUGCCAUCACUGAAACAAUAAUGCACUAACUAUGAAGCAAUUUUCUUACAUGUUGUGAAGGGUUAUGCUGAUGCACAUUGCACAGGGGUCAGUGGGUGUUGCAGCAAUUACCAGGUGCAGCUUUUUCCUCACAGCUUGACCACUGGGUUUUUCACUCUGACUGUUGAAAUGUCUGUUCAAAUUACAUUAGUCAUACUUCAUUUUUUCUCUCUCUCUCUCUCGCCGUUGUGCCCCUGACAAAUAGGCUAUUAAACUGAAACAAAAAAACAAGUUGCUGUUGGAAAGGUUUUAUUUGCAAAGAUUUAUAUAAAAUACUACAUGUACAGGUGUAUUCUAACACUGUAAUAUUGUUUAUACGAGAGAUGCAGAAAUAGGGGCAAGCAUCAAGGAAGGCCUGCAUGUGUGGUUACACUGCCCUCUUUUGAAUGCACUGCAGUGUACCCUAGUAAUCUGCAGCAGGAGGGAAAGAUAAAGAAAUACAGAUGUAUAAUUAAUAGUUCGACAUCUCACACAAAGGAUGUCCCUUUAAAAAGAGGAGAACGGCACAUGUGGCACAGCCUGAUACAAUGUGGCUAAAUCAGUAAGUAAUAUAUCAUUAUUUGUUUUUGUUAAAUUUUUCACCUACAGCACAAUCUCAUGUCAAGUCAAAAGUAAUGGAUUACCUGUUUCUUUUUCUAAUACAUUAACAAACCCAUAACAAAUGUAACAUAAUGAAUCUCAUGAAUUAAAACAUAUCUCAUUCAUUUUAAU
Oreochromis niloticus (Nile tilapia) is the source of this 5491-nucleotide long non-coding RNA. NCBI's taxonomy places the organism in Eukaryota, Metazoa, Chordata, Actinopteri, Cichliformes, Cichlidae. The record is from Ensembl.